GACGAACGCUGGCGGCGUGCUUAACACAUGCAAGUCGAACGGAAAGGCCCUGCUUUUGUGGGGUGCUCGAGUGGCGAACGGGUGAGUAACACGUGAGUAACCUGCCCUUGACUUUGGGAUAACUUCAGGAAACUGGGGCUAAUACCGGAUAGGAGCUCCUGCUGCAUGGUGGGGGUUGGAAAGUUUCGGCGGUUGGGGAUGGACUCGCGGCUUAUCAGCUUGUUGGUGGGGUAGUGGCUUACCAAGGCUUUGACGGGUAGCCGGCCUGAGAGGGUGACCGGCCACAUUGGGACUGGGAUACGGCCCAGACGCCUACGGGAGGCAGGAGGGGGGAAUAGUGCGCAAUGGGCGGAAGCCUGAUGCAGCAACGCGGCGUGCGGGAUGACGGCCUUCGGGUUGUAAACCGCUUUCGCCUGUGACGAAGCGUGAGGGACGGUAAUGGGUAAAGAAGCACCGGCUAACUACGUG
Molecule: ribosomal RNA, 468 nt
Filed under: uncultured bacterium
Lineage: Bacteria
Description: partial 16S ribosomal RNA
Rfam family: Bacterial small subunit ribosomal RNA
Source: RNAcentral